AAGUCGUAACAAGGUCUCCGUAGGUGAACCUGCGGAGGGAUCAUUACAAGAACGCCCGGGCUUCGGCCUGGUUAUUCAUAACCCUUUGUUGUCCGACUCUGUUGCCUCCGGGGCGACCCUGCCUUCGGGCGGGGGCUCCGGGUGGACACUUCAAACUCUUGCGUAACUUUGCAGUCUGAGUAAACUUAAUUAAUAAAUUAAAACUUUUAACAACGGAUCUCUUGGUUCUGGCAUCGAUGAAGAACGCAGCGAAAUGCGAUAAGUAAUGUGAAUUGCAGAAUUUAGUGAAUCAUCGAAUCUUUGAACGCACAUUGCGCCCCCUGGUAUUCCGGGGGGCAUGCCUGUUCGAGCGUCAUUUCACCACUCAAGCCUCGCUUGGUAUUGGGCAACGCGGUCCGCCGCGUGCCUCAAAUCGUCCGGCUGGGUCUUCUGUCCCCUAAGCGUUGUGGAAACUAUUCGCUAAAGGGUGUUCGGGAGGCUACGCCGUAAAACAACCCCAUUUCUAAGGUUGACCUCGGAUCAGGUAGGGAUACCCGCUGGACUUAA
RNAcentral lists this ribosomal RNA (546 nucleotides) under uncultured fungus. Its description in RNAcentral is "eukaryotic LSU rRNA". The stretch from base 202 to 355 matches the Rfam family "5.8S ribosomal RNA". Lineage: Eukaryota; Fungi. The record is from RNAcentral.